ACUUUGACCGGCUGCUUUGUCCACGAGGGAGGUGUGGAGGGAGGUAGGGAGGCAGGGAGGGGGAGAUGAGAGGGCAAACGCACACACACAUACACACACAUAAAAAUAAAAUAAAAAAUAAAAUAAACAACAACAGAAUGGAUUUCAAUGACGGUACUCAACAUGCAUGCAAAACAAUAAAAUGGAAUGUACGGCAAACAUCAAAUCAUCAUGAAAUGAGAAGUAGAUAAUGGAUGAAUAUUGAACACAAAUGGCUAGCUUCCGUUUCGAAAACACUGUUUUUCGUUCCAAUACACACAUGAUCUAACACGUUUCCUCAUGUGAUGGCCGGCCGGCCGGUGGCGUAGUCGAAAGCCGUUUGAACAUUUGGUUUUUGAUAUCCAAAGAAAAUGUUACGAACGGGACAAAACCCGUCUACUAGUCCUGUCUAGUCAUUUGACUAGUGUGGAGAAUUUCUUGAACGAGUAAGGACAAAGAGUGUUCUAGUCCAUGGACCUGAACCCUUUCAUGCACCUCGUAACCUGAAAAUCUGUCCAUUGUGGUAGCCUCUGUCCCUGAA
This is a long non-coding RNA of Hippocampus zosterae (dwarf seahorse), 559 nucleotides long. RefSeq lists it as uncharacterized. The transcript is spliced from 2 exons. NCBI's taxonomy places the organism in Eukaryota, Metazoa, Chordata, Actinopteri, Syngnathiformes, Syngnathidae. The record is from RefSeq and is a predicted model, not a curated record.